RNAcentral lists this ribosomal RNA (2961 nucleotides) under Candidatus Pantoea carbekii. RNAcentral's name for it is "bacterial LSU rRNA". It matches the Rfam family "Bacterial large subunit ribosomal RNA". The record is from RNAcentral. Lineage: Bacteria; Pseudomonadati; Pseudomonadota; Gammaproteobacteria; Enterobacterales; Erwiniaceae.
UUAAGUAAUUAAGCGUACAUGGUGGAUGCCUUGGCAAUCAGAGACGAUGAAGGACGUGCUAAUCUGCGAAAAGCGUCGGUUAGGUGAUAAGAACCGUUAUAAACCGGCGAUUUCCGAAUGGGGAAACCCGAUGUACCUAAAGUGCAUCAUCUCAACAUAAAUACAUAGUGUUGAGAAGUCAACCAGGGGAACUGAAACAUCUAAGUACCCUGAGGAAAAGAAAUCAACUGAGAUUCCCUUAGUAGUGGCGAGCGAACAGGGAUUAGCCCAGAACCUAAAUCAGUGACUGUAUUAGCAGAAUUGUCUGGAAAGGCAAGCAAUAUAGGGUGAUAGCCCCGUAUGUGAAAAUGCAUUCACUGUGAGUUCGAUGAGUAGGACGGGACACGUGAUAUCCUGUUUGAAUAUGGGGGGACCAUCCUCCAAGGCUAAAUACUUCUGAUUGACCGAUAGUGAACUAGUACCGUGAGGGAAAGGUGAAAAGAACCCCAGUGAGGGGAGUGAAAUAGAACCUGAAACCAUGUACGUACAAGCAGUGGGAGCACAUUAUAUUAGUGUGUGACUGCGUACCUUUUGUAUAAUGGGUCAGCGACUUAUAUUCUGUAGCAAGGUUAACCGUAUAGGGGAGCCGUAGGGAAACCGAGUCUUAACUGGGCGUUGAGUUGCAGGGUAUAGACCCGAAACCCGGUGAUCUAGCCAUGGGCAGGUUGAAGGUUGGGUAACACUAACUGGAGGACCGAACCGACUAAUGUUGAAAAAUUAGCGGAUGACCUGUGGCUAGGGGUGAAAGGCCAAUCAAACCGGGAGAUAGCUGGUUCUCCCCGAAAGCUAUUUAGGUAGCGCCUCGUGAAUUCAUCUUUGGGGGUAGAGCACUGUUUUGGUUAGGGGGUUAUCUCAACUUACCAAGCCAAUGCAAACUACGAAUACCAAAGAAUGGUACCACGGGAGACACACGGCGGGUGCUAACGUCCGUCGUGAAAAGGGAAACAACCCAGACCGCCAGCUAAGGUCCCAAAAUCAUGAUUAAGUGGGAAACGAUGUGGGAAGGCAUAGACAGCCAGGAUGUUGGCUUAGAAGCAGCCAUCAUUUAAAGAAAGCGUAAUAGCUCACUGGUCGAGUCGGCCUGCGCGGAAGAUGUAACGGGGCUAAAUCGUGUACCGAAGCUGCGGCAAUAGUACACCAUGUGUAUUGUUGGGUAGGGGAGCGUUCUGUAAGCUGUUGAAGGUGGACUGUGAAGUCUGCUGGAGGUAUCAGAAGUGCGAAUGCUGACAUGAGUAACGAUAAAGUGGGUGAAAAACCCACUCGCCGGAAGACUAAGGGUUCCUGUCCUACGUUAAUCGGGGCAGGGUGAGUCGACCCCUAAGGUGAGGCUGAAAAGCGUAGUCGAUGGGAAACAGGUUAAUAUUCCUGUACUUGAUGUUAUUGCGAAGGGGGGACGGAGAAGGCUAGAUUAUCUGGGCGACGGUUGUCCCAGUUCAAGCGUGUAGGCUGACUUUUUAGGCAAAUCCGGAAAGUUAAAGCUGAGGCGUGAUGACGAGUCACUAAGGUGAUGAAGUAAUUUAUGCCAUGCUUCCAAGAAAAGCCUCUAAGCUUCAGAUAAUAUGAAAUCGUACCCUAAACCGACACAGGUGGUCAGGUAGAGAAUACCAAGGCGCUUGAGAGAACUCGGGUGAAGGAACUAGGCAAAAUGGUGCCGUAACUUCGGGAAAAGGCACACUGGUAUUAGGUCAAGGGAUGUACUCCUAAGGUCGAAACCAGUCGAAGAUACUAGCUGGCUGCAACUGUUUAUUAAAAACACAGCACUGUGCAAACACGAAAGUGGACGUAUACGGUGUGACGCCUGCCCGGUGCCGGAAGGUUAAUUGAUGGGGUAAACCGUAAGGGGAAGCUCUGGAUUGAAGCCCCGGUAAACGGCGGCCGUAACUAUAACGGUCCUAAGGUAGCGAAAUUCCUUGUCGGGUAAGUUCCGACCUGCACGAAUGGCGUAAUGAUGGCCAGACUGUCUCCACCCGAGACUCAGUGAAAUUGAAAUUGCUGUGAAGAUGCAGUGUACCCGCGGCAAGACGGAAAGACCCCGUGAACCUUUACUAUAGCUUGAUACUGAAUAUUGAGUCUUAAUGUGUAGGAUAGGUGGGAGGCUUUGAAACAUAGACGCCAGUUUAUGUGGAGCCGACCUUGAAAUACCACCCUUUAAUGCUUGAUGUUCUAAUGUAGACCCGUAAUCCGGGUUGCAGACAGUGUCUGGUGGGUAGUUUGACUGGGGCGGUCUCCUCCUAAAGAGUAACGGAGGAGCACAAAGGUUGGCUAAUCCUGGUCGGACAUCAGGAGGUUAGUGCAAUGGCAUAAGCCAGCUUAACUGCGAGAGCGACGGUUCGAGCAGAUGCGAAAGCAGGUCAUAGUGAUCCGGUGGUUCUGAAUGGAAGGGCCAUCGCUCAACGGAUAAAAGGUACUCCGGGGAUAACAGGCUGAUACCGCCCAAGAGUUCAUAUCGACGGCGGUGUUUGGCACCUCGAUGUCGGCUCAUCACAUCCUGGGGCUGAAGCAGGUCCCAAGGGUACGGCUGUUCGCCGUUUAAAGUGGUACGCGAGCUGGGUUUAGAACGUCGUGAGACAGUUCGGUCCCUAUCUGCCGUGGGCGUUGGAGAAUUGAGGGGGGUUGCUUCUAGUACGAGAGGACCGAAGUGAACGCACCGCUGGUGUUCGGGUUGUCAUGCCAAUGGCAUUGCCCGGUAGCUAUGUGCGGAAAAGAUAAGUGCUGAAAGCAUCUAAGCGCGAAACUUGCCCCAAGAUGAGUUCUCCCUGAGGUUUUAAACCUUCUGAAGGGAUGUUGAAGACGACGACGUUGAUAGGCUGGGUGUGUAAGUACAGUGAUGUAUUGAGCUAACCAGUACUAAUAUCCCGUGAGACUUAACCUUACAACACCAGAGGUUUUUAGUGAUAGCAGAGAAAUUUUGCUUAUUCAUAU